UGUCACGCCCCUCAAAAUAUUAUCCAUGAUAUUAAAACAAUUUUCAUCACAGACCAAUCCAUCCAGGAUCCAAACUAACGUUUGAGGACACUGAAAAACAUUCAAUCAAAUUCACAUCCAUAAAACCUGUGCAUUUUAAAAUCAUAUAUCACAUCACUCGAUAAUUCACAUUUAUGGCAACCCAAGCCAAUUUGACAAACAUGAACAACAUUUAUAAAUCCACAAGCUAAAUAAAUUAUAUAAUCAGAACUCCAACUAUUCACCACAAGUUCAUAUCGUCAUAAAUUAGACUUAACAUUCCGAAAUUCCAAAUAAGAGAGAUCUUCUAACACUUUUACACAGUAUAUCCAUUUCGAUUCAUCGACAACAUUUCAUUACAUACAAAACAUACUUAUACAACAAUAUCAAAAUAACCACCCAAACUUGCCCAUAAUUCUGAAUAGCUAUCCAUUGCCU
RNAcentral lists this long non-coding RNA (456 nucleotides) under Musa acuminata (dwarf banana). RNAcentral's name for it is "long non-coding RNA (MACU_LNC010478)". The record is from RNAcentral. Lineage: Eukaryota; Viridiplantae; Streptophyta; Magnoliopsida; Zingiberales; Musaceae.